UUUCCGGUUGAUCCUGCCGGAGGCUAUUGCUACCAGGGUUUGACUAAGCCAUGCGAGUCGAGAGGUGAAAGACCUCGGCAUACUGCUCAGUAACACGUGGAUAAUCUGCCCUCAGGUGAGGAAUAAUCCCGGGAAACUGGGGCUAAUGCCUCAUAGGAGGCGGGUGCUGGAAUGCUCUGUCUCCGAAAGGUCCGCCGCCUGAGGAUGAGUCUGCGUCCGAUUAGGUUGUUGUUGGGGUAACGGCCCAACAAGCCUUUGAUCGGUACGGGUUGUGGGAGCAAGAGCCCGGAGAUGGAUUCUGAGACAUGGAUCCAGGCCCUACGGGGCGCAGCAGGCGCGAAAACUUUACAAUGCGAGCAAUCGUGAUAAGGAAACCCUGAGUGCCUGUCAAUGCAGGCUGUUCUGGUGUCUAACACACACCAGGAGAAAGGGCGGGGCAAGACCGGUGCCAGCCGCCGCGGUAAUACCGGCUGCUCGAGUGAUAGCCACUUUUACUGGGCUUAAAGCGUUCGUAGCUUGGUCGUUAAGUCUCUGGGGAAAUCUUUUGGCUCAACCAAAAGGCGCCUCGGGGAAACUGACGAUCUUGGAACCGGGAGAGGUAAGACGUACUUCGGGGGUAGGAGUGAAAUCUUGUAAUCCCCGAGGGACGACCGAUGGCGAAGGCAUCUUACCAGAACGGCUUCGACAGUGAGGGACGAAAGCUGGGGGAGCAAACCGGAUUAGAUACCCGGGUAGUCCCAGCCGUAAACGAUGUGCGUUAGGUGUGUCAGUGACCACGAGUCGCUGAGGUGCCGAAGGGAAACCGUGAAACGCACCGCCUGGGAAGUACGGUCGCAAGGCUGAAACUUAAAGGAAUUGGCGGGGGAGCAC
Molecule: ribosomal RNA, 870 nt
Filed under: uncultured archaeon
Lineage: Archaea
Description: bacterial SSU rRNA
Rfam family: Archaeal small subunit ribosomal RNA
Source: RNAcentral